Molecule: unclassified non-coding RNA, 550 nt
Filed under: Hevea brasiliensis (rubber tree)
Lineage: Eukaryota; Viridiplantae; Streptophyta; Magnoliopsida; Malpighiales; Euphorbiaceae
Source: RNAcentral
GUAACCUCCUCGCUUUCCACACUCACCAUAGAACCCUUUUGACACAGACUGAAAAGACACUAAGGUUAUAUCCGUUUCCCCAUAUCCCAUAGAGCGGGAAACUUUCUUAAAUGAGUGGAAUUUCUUGUCAGGCACAUAAACAUUUUCUUGAUAAACUUCAUCAGCCAGAAGGACGAGACCUUCCUUCCUGCAGAAUUCUACAAUUUCCCGUUGGUUGGCCUCACCAAGAACCUGCCCAGUUGGGUUGCCCGGAUUGAUCACAACCAAAGCCCUAACAUCAAUACCCUUGGAUUUUGCAGUUUUCAACUGAUGCUCAAGCUCUGAGAUCUCAAGCCCCCAGCCUGUUUGUUCAUCAAGAUAAUAAGGAACAAGAGUUCCACCAUGGAGGGCGAUUGAAGCAGAGUAAAGAGGAUACUGGGGAAUGGGACAGAGAAUUCCAUCAUUCUCUGACCUGAUGAGCAGCUGCAUCAUCAUGUGAACCGCUGGGCUUGCACCAUCAGUCAAGAAAAGAUCGUUUGGAUCAGCAGGGAAACCAUCACGAGCUCCCAUA